Molecule: ribosomal RNA, 253 nt
Filed under: uncultured bacterium
Lineage: Bacteria
Description: partial 16S ribosomal RNA
Rfam family: Bacterial small subunit ribosomal RNA
Source: RNAcentral
UACGUAGGUGGCAAGCGUUGUCCGGAAUUAUUGGGCGUAAAGAGCGCGCAGGUGGUUAAUUAAGUCUGAUGUGAAAGCCCACGGCUUAACCGUGGAGGGUCAUUGGAAACUGGUUGACUUGAGUGCAGAAGAGGGAAGUGGAAUUCCAUGUGUAGCGGUGAAAUGCGUAGAGAUAUGGAGGAACACCAGUGGCGAAGGCGGCUUCCUGGUCUGCAACUGACACUGAGGCGCGAAAGCGUGGGGAGCAAACAGG